Molecule: ribosomal RNA, 429 nt
Filed under: bacterium
Lineage: Bacteria
Description: partial 16S ribosomal RNA
Rfam family: Bacterial small subunit ribosomal RNA
Source: RNAcentral
UAGGGAAGCUUCGGCAAUGGGGGCAACCCUGACCGAGCAACGCCGCGUGAGGGAAGAAGGUUUUCGGAUCGUAAAGCUUUGUUGUAAGAGAAGAACGUGUGUGAGAGUGGAAAGUUCACACAGUGACGGUAACUUACCAGAAAGGGACGGCUAACUACGUGCCAGCAGCCGCGGUAAUACGUAGGUCCCGAGCGUUGUCCGGAUUUAUUGGGCGUAAAGCGAGCGCAGGCGGUUUAAUAAGUCUGAAGUUAAAGGCAGUGGCUUAACCAUUGUUCGCUUUGGAAACUGUUAAACUUGAGUGCAGAAGGGGGGAGUGGAAUUCCAUGUGUAGCGGUGAAAUGCGUAGAUAUAUGGAGGAACACCGGUGGCGAAAGCGGCUCUCUGGUCUGUAACUGACGCUGAGGCUCGAAAGCGUGGGGAGCAAACAGG